This 500-nucleotide ribosomal RNA is filed under the name uncultured Glomeromycotina. Its description in RNAcentral is "partial small subunit ribosomal RNA". It matches the Rfam family "Eukaryotic small subunit ribosomal RNA", at positions 591 to 1092 of the family's 1831-position model. The record is from RNAcentral. Lineage: Eukaryota; Fungi; Glomeromycota.
CCAAUAGCGUAUAUUAAAGUUGUUGCGGUUAAAAAGCUCGUAGUUGAAUUUCGGGAUCAAGGGAUUGGUCAUGCCUCGGUAUGCACUGGUCUUAUUGGUUCUCACCUUCUAAAGAACCAUGAUGUCAUUCAUGUGAUGUUAUGGGGAAUUAGGACUGUUACCUUGAAAAAAUUAGAGUGUUUAAAGCAAGCUUACGCUUGAAUACAUUAGCAUGGAAUAAUGAAAUAGGACAUCAGAUUCUAUUUUGUUGGUUUCUAGGAUCGAUGUAAUGAUUAAUAGGGAUAGUUGGGGGCAUUAGUAUUCAAUUGUCAGAGGUGAAAUUCUUGGAUUUAUUGAAGACUAACUACUGCGAAAGCAUUUGCCAAGGAUGUUUUCAUUAAUCAAGAACGAAAGUUAGGGGAUCGAAGACGAUCAGAUACCGUCGUAGUCUUAACCAUAAACUAUGCCGACUAGGGAUCGGAUGAUGUUAAUUUUUUUAAUGACUCAUUCGGCACCUUACG